UAUACGUGCCAGCCGCCGCGGUACUACGGAGGGGGUUAGCGUUGUUCGGAAUUACUGGGCGUAAAGCGUACGUAGGCGGGUUGUUAAGUUAGAGGUGAAAUCCCAGGGCUCAACCCUGGAACUGCCUUUAAUACUGGCAACCUAGAGUUCGAGAGAGGUGAGUGGAAUUCCGAGUGUAGAGGUGAAAUUCGUAGAUAUUCGGAGGAACACCAGUGGCGAAGGCGGCUCACUGGCUCGAUACUGACGCUGAGGUACGAAAGUGUGGGGAGCAAACAGGAUUAGAUACCCUGGUAGUCCACGCCGUAAACGAUGAUUACUCGGUAUUGGCUUCGGUCAGUGCCCAAGCGAAAGUGAUAAGUAAUCCACCUGGGGAGUACGCCCGCAAGGGUGAAACUCAAAGGAAUUGACGGGGGCCCGCACAAGCGGUGGAGCAUGUGGUUUAAUUCGAUGAUACGCGAGGAACCUUACCAGGGUUUAAAUGCAGAACGACAGGGGUGGAAACACCCCCUUCUUCGGACGGACUGCAAGGUGCUGCAUGGUU
Molecule: ribosomal RNA, 541 nt
Filed under: uncultured Alphaproteobacteria bacterium
Lineage: Bacteria; Pseudomonadati; Pseudomonadota; Alphaproteobacteria
Description: bacterial SSU rRNA
Rfam family: Bacterial small subunit ribosomal RNA
Source: RNAcentral